GAUGAAGAACGUAGCGAAAUGCGAUAAGUAGUGUGAAUUGCAGAAUUCAGUGAAUCAUCGAAUCUUUGAACGCACAUUGCGCCCCUCGGUAUUCCGUGGGGCAUGCCUGUUCGAGCGUCAUUUAACCCCUCAAGCCUAGCUUGGUAUUGGGUGCUUGUCCCGCCUCUCGCGCGGCGACUCACCUCAAAGUCAUUGGCAGCCCGCAUCUCGCCGGCCGUGAGCGCAGCACAGACGCGCUCUUGGCAACGACGGAUCGGCUCUCCAAAAGCUUAUUUCAACCACUGACUUCGGAUCAGGUAGGGAUACCCGCUGAACUUAAGCAUAUCAAUAAGCGGAGGA
Molecule: unclassified non-coding RNA, 339 nt
Filed under: soil metagenome
Description: partial contains 5.8S ribosomal RNA, internal transcribed spacer 2, and large subunit ribosomal RNA
Rfam family: 5.8S ribosomal RNA (bases 1-120)
Source: RNAcentral